GACGUAGGGCGCGAGCGUUGUCCGGAUUUAUUGGGCGUAAAGAGCUCGUAGGCGGCUCAUCGCGUCAACCGUGAAAACCAGCAGCUCAACUGUUGGCUUGCGGUUGAUACGGGUGGGCUGGAGUUCGGUAGGGGAGACUGGAAUUCCUGGUGUAGCGGUGAAAUGCGCAGAUAUCAGGAGGAACACCGGUGGCGAAGGCGGAUCUCUGGGCCAGUAUUGACGCUGAGGAGCGAAAGCGUGGGUAGCAAACAGG
RNAcentral lists this ribosomal RNA (253 nucleotides) under uncultured bacterium. Its description in RNAcentral is "partial 16S ribosomal RNA". It matches the Rfam family "Bacterial small subunit ribosomal RNA", at positions 524 to 776 of the family's 1533-position model. The record is from RNAcentral.